UCCAAUGUGGUGUAGUGGCUAACAUUGCUGUCUUUCAGUCUUUCACCUGCGAGGUACACAGCAGCCCGGGGUUCGAUUCCCCGCAUUGGAA
Molecule: non-coding RNA, 91 nt
Organism: Paramarasmius palmivorus
Lineage: Eukaryota; Fungi; Basidiomycota; Agaricomycetes; Agaricales; Marasmiaceae
Source: the annotation of a GenBank genome assembly